Molecule: long non-coding RNA, 396 nt
Filed under: Vigna radiata
Lineage: Eukaryota; Viridiplantae; Streptophyta; Magnoliopsida; Fabales; Fabaceae
Description: long non-coding RNA (VRAD_LNC006986)
Source: RNAcentral
AUAUAUUCUAAAUUGAUAUACAUUCUUAUUAAAUAUUAGUUUUAAGUUACUUUUAAUCUAAACCCAGAUUGAAAGGUAACAAAUAUCUUUACCCAUAAGUUUCUUCUCUUAUUUUGUAUAUCAAUCUAAUUAUAUUUAUUUUCAUUCAUAUUCAUAGAUCUCAUCAUAUUCAUAAAUCUCCUCACACUAAUAUAUUUUAUCCACACUUAUCUCUUUUAUCCACAUUCAUCUCUUUCAUUAACACUCAUAUUUUUCAUCCACACAUCUAUUUUAUCUACUUUUUUUUUUCUCAUAUUCUUGGUCUAUAUUUUUCUCCUCAUCUCCUUUAUACACAUCUUUUUCAUUUACAUUCAUCUUCUCCAUUUACAUUCAACUCCUUAAUUCAUUAUAAUUUUU